ACGGGUGAGUAAUAUAUCGGAACGUGCCCAAUCGUGGGGGAUAACGUAGAGAAAUUUACGCUAAUACCGCAUACGAUCUAAGGAUGAAAGCGGGGGAUCGCAAGACCUCGCGCGAUUGGAGCGGCUGAUAUCAGAUUAGGUUGUUGGUGAGGUAAAAGCUCACCAAGCCGACGAUCUGUAGCUGGUUUGAGAGAACGACCAGCCACACUGGGACUGAGACACGGCCCAGACUCCUACGGGAGGCAGCAGUGGGGAAUUUUGGACAAUGGGCGAAAGCCUGAUCCAGCAAUGCCGCGUGCAGGAAGAAGGCCUUCGGGUUGUAAACUGCUUUUGUACGGAACGAAAAAGCUCUUUCUAAUAAAGAGGGCUCAUGACGGUACCGUAAGAAUAAGCACCGGCUAACUACGUGCCAGCAGCCGCGGUAAUACGUAGGGUGCGAGCGUUAAUCGGAAUUACUGGGCGUAAAGCGUGCGCAGGCGGUUAUAUAAGACAGUUGUGAAAUCCCCGGGCUCAACCUGGGAAUUGCAUCUGUGACUGUAUAGCUAGAGUACGGUAGGGGGGAUGGAAUUCCGCGUGUAGCAGUGAAAUGCGU
Molecule: ribosomal RNA, 592 nt
Filed under: uncultured bacterium
Lineage: Bacteria
Description: bacterial SSU rRNA
Rfam family: Bacterial small subunit ribosomal RNA
Source: RNAcentral